Molecule: ribosomal RNA, 468 nt
Filed under: uncultured bacterium
Lineage: Bacteria
Description: partial 16S ribosomal RNA
Rfam family: Bacterial small subunit ribosomal RNA (bases 58-468)
Source: RNAcentral
GGGGGGGGGGGGGGGGGGGGGGGGGGGAUGGGGGUGGGGGGGGGGGGCCGUGCGGGUGUGGGGUGCUCGAGUGGCGGACGGGUGAGUGACACGUGAGUAACCUGCCCUGGACUGUGGGAGAGAGUCAGGAAACGGGGGCGAGUACCGGAUAGGAGCUCCUGCUGCAUGGUGGGGGGUGGAAAGUUUCGGCGGUUGGGGAUGAACUCGCGGCUGAUCAGCUUCUUGGUGGGGUAGUGGCUUACCAAGGCUUUGACGGGUAGCCGGCCUGAGAGGGUUACCGGCCACAUUGGGACUGAGAUACGGCCCAGACUCCUACGGGAGGCCGCAGUGGGGAAUAUUGCACAAUGGGCGGAAGCCUGAUGCAGCAACGCCGCGUGCGGGAUGACGGCCUUCGGGUUGUAAACCGCUUUCGCCUGUGACGAAGCGUGAGUGACGGUAAUGGGUAAAGAAGCACCGGCUAACUACGUG